GGACUACCGGGGUAUCUAAUCCUGUUUGCUCCCCGCGCUUUCGUGCCUCAGCGUCAGGACACGGCCAGGACGCUGCCUUCGCCGUCGGUGUUCUUCCGGAUCUCUACGCAUUUCACCGCUCCACCCGGAAUUCCACGUCCCUCUCCGUGCCUCAAGACGAUCCGUCUUCACGGCCCUCUCCCAGUUGAGCCAGGAGCUUUCACCGCAAACCAAACCGCCCGCCUGCGCACCCUUUACGCCCAGUAACUCCGGACAACGCUCGCCUCCUACGUAUUACCGCGGCGGCUGGCAC
RNAcentral lists this ribosomal RNA (292 nucleotides) under uncultured bacterium. RNAcentral describes it as "partial 16S ribosomal RNA". The record is from RNAcentral.